This 460-nucleotide ribosomal RNA is filed under the name uncultured bacterium. Its description in RNAcentral is "partial 16S ribosomal RNA". It matches the Rfam family "Bacterial small subunit ribosomal RNA", at positions 338 to 795 of the family's 1533-position model. The record is from RNAcentral.
CCUACGGGUGGCAGCAGUGAGGAAUAUUGGUCAAUGGACGAGAGUCUGAACCAGCCAAGUAGCGUGAAGGAUGACUGCCCUAUGGGUUGUAAACUUCUUUUAUAUGGGAAUAAAAUGUUCCACGUGUGGGAUUUUGUAUGUACCAUAUGAAUAAGGAUCGGCUAACUCCGUGCCAGCAGCCGCGGUAAUACGGAGGAACCGAGCGUUAUCCGGAUUUAUUGGGUUUAAAGGGAGCGUAGGUGGAUUUUUAAGUCAGUUGUGAAAGUUUGCGGCUCAACCGUAAAAUUGCAGUUGAAACUGGCAGUCUUGAGUACAGUAGAGGUGGGCGGAAUUCGUGGUGUAGCGGUGAAAUGCUUAGAUAUCACGAAGAACUCCGAUUGCGAAGGCAGUUCACUGGACUGCAACUGACACUGAGGCUCGAAAGUGUGGGUAUCAAACAGGAUUAGAUACCCCAGUAGUC